RNAcentral lists this ribosomal RNA (424 nucleotides) under Verrucomicrobiota bacterium. RNAcentral describes it as "Verrucomicrobia bacterium partial 16S ribosomal RNA". It matches the Rfam family "Bacterial small subunit ribosomal RNA", at positions 355 to 776 of the family's 1533-position model. Lineage: Bacteria; Pseudomonadati; Verrucomicrobiota. The record is from RNAcentral.
UGAGGAAUAUUGGUCAAUGGACGAGAGUCUGAACCAGCCAAGUAGCGUGCAGGAUGACGGCCCUAUGGGUUGUAAACUGCUUUUAUAUGGGGAUAAAGUGGGGAACGUGUUCCCUUUUGCAGGUACCAUAUGAAUAAGGACCGGCUAAUUCCGUGCCAGCAGCCGCGGUAAUACGGAAGGUUCGGGCGUUAUCCGGAUUUAUUGGGUUUAAAGGGAGCGUAGGCUGGAGAUUAAGUGUGUUGUGAAAUGUAGACGCUCAACGUCUGAAUUGCAGCGCAUACUGGUUUCCUUGAGUACGCACAACGUUGGCGGAAUUCGUCGUGUAGCGGUGAAAUGCUUAGAUAUGACGAAGAACUCCGAUUGCGAAGGCAGCUGACGGGAGCGCAACUGACGCUUAAGCUCGAAGGUGCGGGUAUCAAACAGG